RNAcentral lists this unclassified non-coding RNA (155 nucleotides) under uncultured Ascomycota. RNAcentral describes it as "sequence contains ITS1". The record is from RNAcentral. Lineage: Eukaryota; Fungi; Ascomycota.
CAGAGUUGCAAAACUCCCUAAACCAUUGUGAACCUUACCUCUACCGUUGCUUCGGCGGGCGGGCCUAGCGCCCCCGGGCCCCGCGGCGCCGCCGGAGGUCACCCAAACUCUUGAUACUGUAUGGCCUCUCUGAGUAUUCUGUACUGAAUAAGUCA